RNAcentral lists this ribosomal RNA (602 nucleotides) under uncultured eukaryote. RNAcentral describes it as "SSU rRNA". It matches the Rfam family "Eukaryotic small subunit ribosomal RNA", at positions 614 to 1219 of the family's 1831-position model. The record is from RNAcentral.
UGCGGUUAAAAAGCUCGUAGUUGGAUUUCUGCCGAGGACGACCGGUCCGCCCAUUGGGUGAGUAUCUGGUUCGGCCUGGGCAUCUUCUUGGAGAACGUAGCUGCACUUGACUGUGUGGUGCGGUAUCCAGGACUUUUACUUUGAGGAAAUUAGAGUGUUUCAAGCAGGCUCACGCCUUGAAUACAUUAGCAUGGAAUAAUAAUAUAGGACCUCGGUUCUAUUUUGUUGGUUUCUAGAGCUGAGGUAAUGAUUAAUAGGGAUAGUUGGGGGCAUUCGUAUUUAACUGUCAGAGGUGAAAUUCUCGGAUUUGUUAAAGACGGACUACUGCGAAAGCAUUUGCCAAGGAUGUUUUCAUUGAUCAAGAACGAAAGUUAGGGGAUCGAAGACGAUCAGAUACCGUCCUAGUCUUAACCAUAAACCAUGUCGACUAGAGAUUGGAGGUCGUUAUCUAUACGACUCCUUCAGCACCUUAUGAGAAAUCAAAGUCUUUGGGUUCCGGGGGGAGUAUGGUCGCAAGGCUGAAACUUAAAGGAAUUGACGGAAGGGCACCACCAGGAGUGGAGCCUGCGGCUUAAUUUGACUCAACACGGGGAAAACUUACC